This 301-nucleotide ribosomal RNA is filed under the name uncultured bacterium. Its description in RNAcentral is "partial 16S ribosomal RNA". It matches the Rfam family "Bacterial small subunit ribosomal RNA", at positions 509 to 807 of the family's 1533-position model. The record is from RNAcentral.
CAGUAGCCGCGGUAAUACGUAGGGUGCGAGCGUUAAUCGGAAUUACUGGGCGUAAAGCGUGCGCAGGCGGUUCGUUAAGACAGAUGUGAAAUCCCCGGGCUUAACCUGGGAACUGCAUUUGUGACUGGCGAGCUAGAGUAUGGCAGAGGGGGGUAGAAUUCCACGUGUAGCAGUGAAAUGCGUAGAGAUGUGGAGGAAUACCGAUGGCGAAGGCAGCCCCCUGGGCCAAUACUGACGCUCAUGCACGAAAGCGCGGGGAGCAAACAGGAUUAGAUACCCGCGUAGUCCCUGUCUCUUAUAC